GCUAUUGGAGUUCGAUUAAGCCAUGCGAGUCGAGAGUCCUCGGGACUCGGCGUACCGCUCAGUAACACGUGGGUAACCUGCCCUAUGCUGGGGAAUAACCUCGGGAAACUGAGAAUAAUGCCCCAUAGCCCACUACGCCUGGAACGGUGAGUGGGUCAAAGCUCCGGCGGCAUAGGAUGGGCCUGCGCCGUAUCAGGUUGUAGGGGGUGUAAAGUACCCUCUAGCCAUCAACGCGUACGGGUGUUGGGAGACAUUGCCCGGAGAUGGAUUCUGAGACACGAAUCCAGACCCUACGGGGUGCAGCAGGCGCGAAAACUUGGCAAUGCGAGCAAUCGUGACCAGGGAACUCCAAGUGCGUAGGGUAAGACCUACGCUUUUCUUGACUCUUCAAAGGUCUUGGAAUAAGGGGUGGGUAAGGACGGUGCCAGCCGCCGCGGUAAUACCGGCGCCUCAAGUGGUAGUCGCUUUUAUUGGGCCUAAAACGUCCGUAGCCGGUCUGGUGCAUUCGUGGGUAAAUCAACCCGCUCAACGGGUUGAAUUCUGCGAGCACGGCCAGACUUGGGACCGGGAGAGGUGUGGGGUACUCUCAGGGUAGGGGUAAAAUCCUGUCAUCCUGAGAGGACCACCUGUUGCGAAGGCGCCACACUAGAACGGAUCCGACGGUCAGGGACGAAACCUAGGGGCACGAACCGGAUUAGAUACCCGGGCAGUCCUAGGUGUAAACGCUGUGGACUUGAUGUUGGGGGCGCUCCGAGCGCUCUCAGUGUCGAAGCGAAGGUGAUAAGUCCACUGCCUGGGGAGUACGGUCGCAAGGCUGAAACUUAAAGGAAUUGGCGGGGGAGCACUGC
Molecule: ribosomal RNA, 848 nt
Filed under: uncultured archaeon
Lineage: Archaea
Description: bacterial SSU rRNA
Rfam family: Archaeal small subunit ribosomal RNA
Source: RNAcentral